Gadus macrocephalus (Pacific cod) is the source of this 5683-nucleotide long non-coding RNA. RefSeq lists it as uncharacterized. NCBI's taxonomy places the organism in Eukaryota, Metazoa, Chordata, Actinopteri, Gadiformes, Gadidae. The transcript is spliced from 15 exons. The record is from RefSeq and is a predicted model, not a curated record.
UUAAACCUCGGCCCGGGCGGGUCCGAGGUGAGGUGGUCGACGGCAUAUACCGCCGCCACCCACUGAGUGGCGACAGAGAGCACCACUUCUCUCUCCCCAAUCAGCGUGAUUGGGGGACACCUGCUGAAUGGAGCAGGAGCCAUCUUGAAAAGGCCACGAGGACAGACAGACGGGAUCGGGAACCAUGGAGAGCUAGGAAGCCCAUGAGACGACGCAUUAGAGGCUCACGUCUCUUCCAGUUUCACAGGUUCAAGACUUUUUGAAGUAAAGUGGAGCAUCUCAUCUGAACCUGAUGUCUAUCAUGGAUAUUUAACUGCAGUUCUGUGAGUAUCCCAACUUAACCAUGAAGCAUAUCUGCAAACUGUAAGUCAUUAAUUUCUCAUUACUCUUGGGCACAUUGUUGUAUUUUGGCUUCCUGGUGAGUUAACCUGUUACCUGAAAGUUGAUCUGAGUAUUAAGGAUGUUUUAUUGGUUCAUGGGUUACUUAGGUGUUUGGUUUAUGUUGGUAUUAAUGAUUUGUUAAAAUGGUUACAGGCUCCAAGUUAUUGUUGUAAGCUGGAGUAAUGGGUUGGGUUCUGAUAUCUUCAGUCUCCUUCAUUCUUCUCUCCUGAGCUCUGCAUCUUCAUCAAAUGACUGUUGCUUUCCUGAGGAGGGUGUGGUCUGAGUGAGCAGAGGUGCAUACUGGGAUACAGAGCUGUCUCGAGUCUACAGGUCUGUGGACACGCCCCCUCAGGGGAAACCGAGUGUUUGAGAAACUGUCUUGACGUCAGUUACAUGGACUGGAAUGUUCUUAAAGAUGAAGACAGGGAUUCAGAAGGAGAAACACCAGGGGGAGAUGAGGGGGCUCCUCAUCUCAACGACUAAAACACAACUUCAGUCUGACACAGAACCAUGGAUCACAUUCAACAGUCCCCUCCAGGCAUCGUGACUCCUCAGGAACAGUUUCAUUUCCAAGAAGGUCUUAUUUGGGGCCAUCCCCAUAUGGAUCCUGCUCCUCAAGAGCCACCCCCCUCCACUGGGUGGUCUUCUGAACAGAUGACCUCCUUCCUGUCCUCAGGCUGACUAAAGCUGCACCGUUUGCAUCUGUGAAGGCCCCUCAUUCAGGAAACCACUGGACUACAAAGACAUGACUUCAGAGAUGUUGAAUCAACCUGGGACACAUUGGAGACGCCAAGCAUAAUCCAUCACCAAUGUGGGACGCCACCGAAGAAUGUUGUACAUAAUUUACGUCUCUGGAGACAUUGGUUGCUCUGUUAUGGGUGCCCUGGCAGGAGAGCUGGGGGGGGGGGGGGGGGGGGUGAUGGAAUGUUAUUUGUCAUGAGGUUUUUACCCUGCAUGAUUGUUUGGCCUUUUAUGGCUCAGUGGUGUGUGUUUGGGUUUGACAUGAGAUGGAAGAUUUUUGAGCAUCACUAGGGUUUUACUGCGCGUGUCUCCCACUCACGCCUGGCAUGGGGUUGUGUGUGUGUGUGUGUGUGUGUGUGUGUGGCUUGCUUUGACGGUGAUAAUGUUCAUACGGGGGUCUGUGUGAUUGGCUUGGGAUAUUGGAAUGGUCAACUAAAUCAUACCUGAUGGACGGCCACACGUUUACUUGAGGGCCUCCAGUAGACAUGAAGAGCCCUGAGCGACGCUCCGGAGCGAGAUCCAACACACUGGGCAGGAAGGAGAGUAUCCAACUCAAGUGUAAAAGGAUGCAAGUGGCGUGUUCAGAUCAGUGACUUCAAACUAGGACUGCACCAAUCAGGAUCAAUGGAGGAUGGACACCAAAAGGAAUUUCACAAGGAGAGUCUGACGUUGGAAAGGGACCUAAAUGGAUAUUCAAGAUGACCUUCAGACCUGUAAUGAGACGGCUCUUCCUAUCUGGCUGGAUUGAUGGAGAGCCCUGUGGAUCUUGUCUUGCUCUCAGUUGCACGUCUUCUCAGGCUGAACUGUAUUUGUUUCGGACAGGACUAGCUGAACGAUUGGUUCCCUUAAAUCAGAACCAAUCCGGGAACUCCAGCUAGUGCGCUCUUCGAGCUGAAGUUGUGCUCUUCAGCUGAGGAGGUGAGGAAACCUUCACUGGGGCUUCAAGGUGUAAAGAGGAGAAUGUUUCAAAGUGUUCCAUGGUACUCUGAUGAAGACCGUUGUUGUGUUCCACUGGCUGCGAGGAAGAACCCACACAUCUUCCUCUUGGCCUUUCUCCUCUGAGAAUCCUGGCGCCAUCUUAAAGGAUAUUCCAGCUCAUGUAACUGUCACGACAGAUUCUCAAACACUUGGUUACUCCUGAGGGGCGUGUCUAUGGAACUGAAGACUUCAGACGGCACUGUAUCCCAGCAUGCAUCUCUGCUCACUCAGACCACACCCCCAUGAGUAGGAUGCAGCACUCUAGUGAUGGAGAUGUAUAGUUUUAUAAGUAACGAGGGAGCAGACUAAGGUGAUAAGAACACAAUGGAAUGUCAAGUCUGUAAAUCUUUAAACCAUGAAGAUGGUUGGAUAGUUCAGGAAUUGGGCUUUUUAUUAUGGGCAGUCCUUUCACUCAGAUGCCCACUUCUCACUGGAGCUGUACAUGUGUUGGCUGGCUGGCAUGAUUUGCUGUGGGUGAUGAGGCGGUCAGGGUGACGUUGCAGGGCUAUGGUCGGCUCUCUGUGAGGUCAACGUUUAGAUUUGCUCUGUAUGGUUUGUACCCUGAAUAAUCUAGAUAAUUGUAAAAUGUAGACAUUUUUGUUUUGAAUGAUUUUAGGUUUAAAGUUGUUGUGGGACGUACAUGGUAGUUUGGUUCUUCGUAUGGUUUUGAGUGAUAUGACUUGUACACACUGGGUGCAUAAUAAUGUAAAUGUACACUGAAUAGUAGUAAUGACCAACAGCAACAAACAGAUCUCCUCAAGGUAAGUCUGUUGGCUGUGUUUUGAUGAAGACCAUCGCUGGACUUCAGGAUCUUCCUCCGUUCAGCUCAAGGUGAGGCGCUGGUUCUGUUUUUUCUUUGGUUGGUUCCGGCCGGAAUGUUCGGAUUCCAGUCGGACGGUUUGUGCUUCCCGCCGUGGAAGGUUCUGAGUGAGGUCACUUGAUUUAGUCCCAAUGGUUAGCAUAGAACGUUGUAGUCUUGACAACCAUAAGAAACCACCUGGUAGUUAGUUGGACGGGAGUCCCCUGAGGGAAUCUGGCGGAACGUUCUGGAUUGUAUUUGCGUAACCUCGAGCCGUUGCCAACGUAAUUUUUUUUUUCGGUCGGUUUCCAUUGCCAAUUGUUGCCCCUAUGUUAAACAACUAAAGUUUGAUAUUAAAUACAUACUGACACGUACGUCGUACAAUAUAUUGAUAAUUUCCGAUGGUUGCGCCGUACUCUUAACCACGAUGACGUUGCGGGACUCUCACUGCGUACAAAACCGCGUUCUACUUGCGGGCCCAUUUUUGACAUCAGGGAAGGCUUAACAUUUUUCAAGAUGGAAGAUAAUUUGACAUUUCUUCAACGGAACCCAGCACCUGAAUAUGGCUGAGUAUAUUUGAUUUAAAUAUCGAUACUGCUUAGUGUUCUUUGUUACCUCAGCUUUUGUACGUUCUAAAUAUCUGCUGUCAUUAAUUGCCACAGAAGUUAAACCCUACCCAAUGGAAUGACGUUAAACAACGAGUUAACUGGAUAAUAUAAAAGCUAAAAUAAUGUUCCCACAUGUUACAGUAGAAGAUACUCUAGAACCGUACAAGGUUAAAAAGGUAACAUGUAGUUUGUCCCAAGGUGUCUGCCUCCUCACCCAGAGCCAGACCUCCACCUCCUCACCCAGAGCCAGACCUCCACCUCCUCACCCAGAGCCAGACCUCCACCUCCUCACCCAGAGCCAGACCUCCACCUCCUGUCAGAAGUCCUCCAGAACAGCUGAAAGGCGAGGCUGAGAGGCUGGGGACCGGAGGCUUGUGGUGCCAGGGUGGACCGGAGACUGAGGCUGGAGACCAGGGGCCUGCAGCACCGGACCAGAGGACCAGGAAUCCAUGGCUGAAGGAGGUGAUGGAGGAGCCGUGCUGAUGGAGGAGCCCUGCUGAAGGCCCUGGGCUGGUGGAGGAGCUGGUGGAGGGCCUGCCUGGUGAAUGACGUCUGUCGUGGGGUAGAUGGAGCCUGACUCUGAAACCAGGACUCUGUCUGAGGAGAGCUGCUGGAGGAGCUGAGACGCUGGAGGAUGACUAGGAAUCGACCAACAAGGAUUCCUCAACGUGUUUCUGGAGCGGAGGCGAGCUGGUAGGGGAGCCGUGAAUCUGGAGGAUGACCAUCACUCUACCAACAAGGACUACUUUAGGGCCCGACUCGCGCUGUUUGUUCCAGACCAGGACUCUGGCUGAGGAGAGCUGAUGGAGGAGCCAAGACUCUGGAGGACGACAUCACUCCACCAACCAGGAUCCUUGUGUCUGCCUCCUCACCCAGAGCCAGACCUCCACCUCCUCACCCAGAGCCAGACCUCCACCUCCUCACCCAGAGCCAGACCUCCACCUCCUCACCCAGAGCCAGACCUCCACCUCCUCACCCAGAGCCAGACCUCCACCUCCUGUCAGAAGUCCUCCAGAACAGCUGAAAGGCGAGGCUGAGAGGCUGGGGACCGGAGGCUUGUGGUGCCAGGGUGGACCGGAGACUGAGGCUGGAGACCUGGGGCCUGCAGCACCGGACCAGAGGACCAGGAAUCCAUGGCUGAAGGAGGUGAUGGAGGAGCCGUGCUGAUGGAGGAGCCCUGCUGAAGGCCCUGGGCUGGUGGAGGAGCUGGUGGAGGGCCUGCCUGGUGAAUGACGUCUGUCGUAGGACCAGGACUCUGUCUGAGGAGAGCUGCUGGAGGAGCUGAGACGCUGGAGGACGACUAGGAAUCGACCAACAAGGAUUCCUCAACGUGUUUCUGGAGCGGAGGCGAGCUGGUAGGGGAGCUGUGAAUCUGGAGGAUGACCAUCACUCUACCAACAAGGAUUGGAAACCAGGACUCUGGCUGAGGAGAGCUGAUGGAGGAGGCAAGACUCUGGAGGACAACAUCACUCCACCAACCAGGAUCCUUAGACAAAUUACGUUUGUAACCAGACCAGGAAUCUGGAGGACUGAAGGAGAAGCCGUACAUCUGGAAGGCAAAUCCUGAGGAGCACCAGGACUCUCUUGCAUUAUCUGGACAUAGUGGACUAGACACACCUGAGCUGAACCUCACCUGAUCCUGUUUGGUCGGGGGUAGACACACCUGAGCUAAACCCGCCCUGAUCCUGACAUCCUGCUGGUCCCGUCUCCUCAGUUCACCUGAGCCUCGUCCUCCAGAAGACCUGCUGAGCUCAGCAGUCUGAGGCUGAUGGAUCAAUGACCUCCAGUGGGAGUGAUCUUCUUGACCCCACAUGUAACCGUGUGCUUCCACACGCCUUUCCUUCACGUCUGUCACUAACCUCACUACUCUCUACUGCUUCCUCUUUUCUUCCUUCUCUGUGGUUCAAACCUUUACACGGAAGGCGCGUCUUCCUGCCCUCAGAGGGUUUAGCGUUAGGGUUGAGAGUCAGGGUUUAGAGUCAGGGACAGAGCUGGUCAGGGAGGCCUGCUUUUACACAAACCUCUUCACUUGCUUUCGGAAUGGUGGUGACAUUAUGAAAAGAUUCAUUUGGGAAAAUGUUUUCCUCUGCUUUCCUUUACAAAAUUGUAUUAAACUUCUGUCAAGUGUUUUUGUUUGUAUUAAAAUCCCACAUUGACUUCUACAUGUUUGGUGCGG